AACGAACGCUGGCGGCGUGGAUAAGACAUGCAAGUCGAACGGGAUUUGUUCUGUAGUAAUACAGCGCAAGUCUAGUGGCGAACGGGUGCGUAACACGUGGGCAAUCUGCCGGGGAAGAGGGGGAUAGCUCGCCGAAAGGACGAAUUAAUACCGCAUGUGGUUAGGAAGGACAUCCUUCUAUUACUAAAGUACGGGGUAACCGUGACGCUUCCUGAUGAGCCCGCGGCCUAUCAGCNGUUGGUGAGGUAACGGCUCACCAAGGCUAUGACGGGUAGCUGGUCUGAGAGGACGACCAGCCACACUGG
This 305-nucleotide ribosomal RNA is filed under the name uncultured bacterium. RNAcentral describes it as "bacterial SSU rRNA". It matches the Rfam family "Bacterial small subunit ribosomal RNA", at positions 29 to 316 of the family's 1533-position model. The record is from RNAcentral.